This 210-nucleotide unclassified non-coding RNA is filed under the name Hevea brasiliensis (rubber tree). The record is from RNAcentral. Lineage: Eukaryota; Viridiplantae; Streptophyta; Magnoliopsida; Malpighiales; Euphorbiaceae.
GCCUCACAGGAAUCUGACGUUUCUUGGGGAGACGUAGACGCAUAUGGAUGUUGAUUUCUGGCCCUCAAGAGUCUACGCUAAGCACCUCUCUGCUGUACAAGCUGACAGAUACAACUCUGAUAAUAAUUUGGCAAUGGAUGAUUCGGAUGGAGAUGAGGAUUCAAGAGCGUAUUUUCCAUGCCCCUUCUGCUAUGUAGACAUUGAAGUCCA